[Candida] anglica is the source of this 71-nucleotide non-coding RNA. The record is from the annotation of a GenBank genome assembly. NCBI's taxonomy places the organism in Eukaryota, Fungi, Ascomycota, Pichiomycetes, Serinales, Debaryomycetaceae.
AAUUAUGUAGUUUAAAGGUAAAACAUUAUACUUCUAAUAUAAUUAUCUAGGUUCGAUUCCUAGCAUGAUUA